Molecule: long non-coding RNA, 1061 nt
Filed under: Vulpes vulpes (red fox)
Lineage: Eukaryota; Metazoa; Chordata; Mammalia; Carnivora; Canidae
Description: lncRNA (ENSVVUG00000012571.1)
Source: RNAcentral
CAGGGAUUGAGCAUCUGCCUUUGGCCCAGGGCGUGACCCCGGGGUCCCGGCAUCGAGUCCCGUGUUGGGCUCCCUGCGAAGAGCCUGCUUCUCCCUCUGCCUGUGUCUCUGCCUCUCUCUCUCUCUCUGUUUCUCAUGAAUAAAUAAAAUCUUAAAAAAAAAAAGAAUAAUCACAAUUUUUGCCACUGUCAGUACAACUCUGUUUUCAUUGCCUGGUAUUGAGAAAUGCUUUUAACUUCUUUUCAUGACCAUUUGGCCCACUGGUUAGUUUUACAGUUUGCUGCUCUGGGCAAUCUGGACAACUUACCAUUACUGCAGAUGCUUUUUGCUUUUCUCCCUUCAUACUUUUGUCUAUGUGGAAUAUCAUCUCCCAUCACCCCAAGACCAAAUUGAAUGCAUGAGUACGUGACAGACAAGUUCUUGUCAUGGGUCACAUUUCAUGCCCUAUUUACUGUCUAGAUGUGAAUUGGAAAUGAGAUUCUGAAGCCUUUAGUGGUUUGUUUUUUUAAGAUGUUAUUUAUUUAUUCAUGAGAGACACAGAGAGAGGCAGAGACCCAGGCAGAGGGAGAAGCAGGCUCCAUGCAGGGAGCCCGAUUCGGGACUCGAUCCCAGGACCCUGGGGUCAUGUCCUGAGCUGAAGGCAGAUGCUCAACCACUGAGCCGCCCUGGUGCCCCACCCUUAGUUUUGAGUUUACAUCACAAUUGGAAGGUAUGUAUGCUUAGGAUCAAUGUUACAGUGAACAUACAGAACUGAUGUGUGAUUUCUGAGUGAUUCCUGAUUUUUCACUCUGAGCAGAUGAGAAAUGAGAGAAGGCCUUCUACUGCCCACACCAUCCAAGUCACAUCAAAGAGCAGCUCCGAGCAGUUGGUCGGACACAGCAGGAGAUCAGCAGCCUGAGAUGCUGUUUGCUGCACCCAGCCUGAGCAGACCCCCACCCAGCCUGAGCAGACCCGAGCCGCCGAGGGUGGCUGGGCCCACCCCUCGGCUCGCACAGUACGGAGGGAGGAUGCCGGUUGUCGCCCAGAGCCCAGAGAAGAGGCACCCGUGUGACCUGGAAUGA